ACCUUUCAAAUCAGGGUGCGGCGCGGCCCCCGAGGAGCGGAAACAAUCCUUGGGAGGUAUGCGGGGGCUUCGAGCCCCCCAUUUACGCACGCACGACUGCCAUCCUUACUUUACGAGCACCUUCUGUUCUCCCUCGGCGGGGGCAACCUGCCGUUGGAACCGAAUAAACUCUUUUUGCAUCUAGCAUUACCUGUUCCGAAACAAACAAUCGUUA
Molecule: unclassified non-coding RNA, 214 nt
Filed under: soil metagenome
Description: partial internal transcribed spacer 1
Source: RNAcentral